AGUAGUUCGUCCGAUUUCGGUUAGCUACGAUUUCAACUGGACUGUAUAUAAUCUAAUAUACUGCCGUUGUUUAUCCAUCGCCAUGCCGUGCAGUUUGCGAACAGUCAUCGUUCGUGUAAAUUUCAAGUACAACAAUCAGAUCUGCGCCACCGUGUACAUAACAAUAUUUGUGUACAGGUUUUCGUUGUGAAUUAUACGUACAAAGUACACCAGAUGAAUAUUUCAGACGUAGUUUAAUGAAUCUACCCCAACUCCGGAUUGCAAAAUACAAAUGAUAAUAGCACAAUAA
Long non-coding RNA from Rhopalosiphum maidis (corn leaf aphid), 289 nucleotides. RefSeq lists it as uncharacterized. The record is from RefSeq and is a predicted model, not a curated record. The transcript is spliced from 2 exons. NCBI's taxonomy places the organism in Eukaryota, Metazoa, Arthropoda, Insecta, Hemiptera, Aphididae.